RNAcentral lists this ribosomal RNA (253 nucleotides) under uncultured bacterium. RNAcentral describes it as "partial 16S ribosomal RNA". It matches the Rfam family "Bacterial small subunit ribosomal RNA", at positions 524 to 776 of the family's 1533-position model. The record is from RNAcentral.
UACAGAGGGUGCGAGCGUUAAGCGGCACUACUGGGCGUAAAGCGCGCGUAGGUGGUGACGUAAGUCGGGUGUGAAAGCCCCGGGCUCAACCUGGGAAUUGCAUUCGAGACUGCAUUGCUGGAGUACGGAAGAGGAGGGCGGAAUUCCCGGUGUAGCGGUGAAAUGCGUAGAUAUCGGGAGGAACAGCAGUGGCGAAGGCGGCCCUCUGGUCCAGUACUGACGCUCAAGUGCGAAAGCGUGGGGAGCAAACAGG